UAGGGAAUUUUCGUCAAUGGGCGCAAGCCUGAACGAGCGAUGCCGCGUGAGUGAAGAAGGCCUUCGGGUCGUAAAGCUCUGUUGCGGGGGAAAAAAGGCAGCAUCAGGAAAUGGGUGCUGACUGAUGGUGCCCCGCCAGAAAGUCACGGCUAACUACGUGCC
This 162-nucleotide ribosomal RNA is filed under the name uncultured bacterium. RNAcentral describes it as "partial 16S ribosomal RNA". It matches the Rfam family "Bacterial small subunit ribosomal RNA", at positions 355 to 509 of the family's 1533-position model. The record is from RNAcentral.